This 415-nucleotide ribosomal RNA is filed under the name uncultured bacterium. RNAcentral describes it as "bacterial SSU rRNA". It matches the Rfam family "Bacterial small subunit ribosomal RNA", at positions 9 to 407 of the family's 1533-position model. The record is from RNAcentral.
GAGUUUGAUCUUGGCUCAGGAUGAACGCUGGCGGCGUGCUUAACACAUGCAAGUCGAACGAGAAUCAACGGAUUGAGGAUUCGUCCAAAUGAAGUUGAGGAAAGUGGCGGACGGGUGAGUAACGCGUGAGGAACCUGCCUCGGAGUGGGGAAUAACAGUUGGAAACAGCUGCUAAUACCGCAUAAUGCAACGAAAUCGCAUGACUUUGUUGCCAAAGAUUUAUCGCUCUGAGAUGGCCUCGCGUCUGAUUAGCUAGUUGGCGGGGUAACGGCCCACCAAGGCGACGAUCAGUAGCCGGACUGAGAGGUUGGCCGGCCACAUUGGGACUGAGACACGGCCCAGACUCCUACGGGAGGCAGCAGUGGGGAAUAUUGGGCAAUGGGCGCAAGCCUGACCCAGCAACGCCGCGUGAAGG